GAUGAACGCUGGCGGCAUGCUUUACACAUGCAAGUCGAACGGUAACGCGGGGCAACCUGGCGACGAGUGGCGAACGGGUGAGUAAUACAUCGGAACGUGCCCAGUAGUGGGGGAUAGCCCGGCGAAAGCCGGAUUAAUACCGCAUACGACCUACGGGUGAAAGCGGGGGAUCGCAAGACCUCGCGCUAUCGGAGCGGCCGAUGUCAGAUUAGCUAGUUGGUGGGGUAAAGGCCUACCAAGGCGACGAUCUGUAGCUGGUCUGAGAGGACGACCAGCCACACUGGGACUGAGACACGGCCCAGACUCCCACGGGAGGCAGCAGUGGGGAAUUUUGGACAAUGGGCGCAAGCCUGAUCCAGCCAUGCCGCGUGCGGGAAGAAGGCCUUCGGGUUGUAAACCGCUUUUGUCAGGGAAGAAACGCUCCGAGCUAAUACCUCGGAGUAAUGACGGUACCUGAAGAAUAAGCACCGGCUAACUACGUGCCAGCCGCCGCAGUAA
RNAcentral lists this ribosomal RNA (498 nucleotides) under uncultured bacterium. RNAcentral's name for it is "partial 16S ribosomal RNA". It matches the Rfam family "Bacterial small subunit ribosomal RNA", at positions 28 to 523 of the family's 1533-position model. The record is from RNAcentral.